RNAcentral lists this ribosomal RNA (502 nucleotides) under uncultured bacterium. Its description in RNAcentral is "partial 16S ribosomal RNA". It matches the Rfam family "Bacterial small subunit ribosomal RNA", at positions 28 to 507 of the family's 1533-position model. The record is from RNAcentral.
GACGAACGCUGGCGGCGUGCCUAAUACAUGCAAGUCGAACGAACCGCGACUAAGUGCUUGCACUAAGUCAAGGUGAGUGGCGAACGGGUGAGUAACACGUGGGUAACCUACCUCAUAGUGGGGGAUAACAGUCGGAAACGACUGCUAAUACCGCAUAGGACAUCGGCUCACAUGAUCCAGUGAGGAAAGUUGUCGCAACCUAUCGCUAAGAGAUGGACCCGCGGUGCAUUAGCUAGUUGGUAGGGUAAAGGCCUACCAAGGCGAUGAUGCAUAGCCGACCUGAGAGGGUGAUCGGCCACAGUGGGACUGAGACACGGCCCAAACUCCUACGGGAGGCAGCAGUAGGGAAUCUUCCGCAAUGGACGCAAGUCUGACGGAGCAACGCCGCGUGAGUGAAGAAGGUCUUCGGAUCGUAAAGCUCUGUUGUUAGAGAAGAACAGAGCAUAGAGUAACUGCGAUGCGUGUGACGGUAUCUAACCAGAAAGCCACGGCUAACUACGUG